Rosa rugosa (rugosa rose) is the source of this 2393-nucleotide long non-coding RNA. RefSeq lists it as uncharacterized. The transcript is spliced from 3 exons. NCBI's taxonomy places the organism in Eukaryota, Viridiplantae, Streptophyta, Magnoliopsida, Rosales, Rosaceae. The record is from RefSeq and is a predicted model, not a curated record.
AAAUAAAGCCAAAAACCCAACUCCUUAUUUACCCUCCUGGCCUCGUCUCCUUAUUCCCCCAACUGAAAACCCUAAUUCAAAUUGUUUAUUUCGAAUCCUCAGCUCCGAUUCAGUCUCUCUCCCAAUUUUGGCGCCAAAUUCGAAUCGCAUCGAUAGGAGCUACCAUGGCGCUCCGGAAAAAUCACAGGCCAACGCCAAUUUGAUGCAGAUCGCCCUGUGGCAGAUCGCGUAAUUUCGAGCGAACAAAAUGUAGGGCUUUGAAGCGAUGACCUUCAACGUUCACGGUGGGCCGGUGGCUACUUGGAGGCCAUCGUCCGGGGACAACGUGGCGAUCUUCUCACUGCCGCUGAUUACAACAAUCUGUGCCAGUCCGAGACCCUCGACGACAUUAAGAUGCACCUCUCUGCCACCGAGUACGGCCCCUCCCUCCAAAACGGUGCGCUUUGGUGUAUCUCUCUCUCUUAUCGUGGCUUGCAUUUUAAUUUGUUCGUAGCUGAGGAAAUUGAAUAGAAUUGGAGACUGAAUUAUGGAUCUUAUGCUUUGAUAGUUUGAUUUGAUGUAGUUUCCUAGUUUCCUACUGAAAUGAUGCCUAUUGAUCUGGAUUUUUAGUUUUCUCUAGGUAAUGAUUUGGCUUUGGUGUUUGGUGGUGUUGAUUUCAGAAUUAGUAUGAGCAACAAUUAUAUGAUGUCAUAAGUCGAUCAGAGGUGGUUUAUCUUUGAAUGCACCUAACAUUCCUGCACGUAUGCAAACAAAUUGCAUCUGGAUAUCUGUAGUAGAACGAGGGAUUUGGAUUUUGCUGCCUAGCUCUGGUUUAUUGUCAUGCAUGCAUAUACAAAAGAUGGUUUAUGUGUGCACUGGUUCUUUUCUUUUGCAUCUGAUCGACUGCACUUAAAUUGGGUUGUCAAUUGUGUGUACUGCAAUUUUAAACAAUGCUAUUGUUUGAAUAGUUAUUGUCUAUCUGUACGCAAUCUCAGGAUCUUCAUCUAAUAUGUUGGUAUAUAUAUGAGUUUAUAUGAACUUAUAAUAGACAAACACACACAAGCAGACAUGAUAGAUUCCUUUUUCCUUUUCUAUUAGGGCUGUCUUAGGCCAUGCUUCCUAUACCUAGACCAUUUGUAUAUAGGGAAAGUAUGACCAGCCCUCAAUUUUUCCAGUUGCUGGCUGAUAUAUAAUCUCCACUUUGUAGAAUCAUAGACCUGAGAAUGAAUCUUGCCUACAUAAUUCAAAUUACAAAUCUGUCAGGCCCUUUAGGAACAGCACAGAAUGGUAAAGAACACCCUCAGUCUAUUACCGAUCAGGCAAAUGGUGGGAGCCUUUCGUUGUGCUUUUCUUUAUGUUGAUGGGGGAGAAUGGUUGGGCAAUGAUUUUGAAGGAAAUAUGGUGUUGUUGUUUCCCUAGGUUUGGCAUGAGGAAUAUUCCAACAUAACAUUCUUUGUACACCUUUAGAGUAGGUUUGUCAUGAACUCAUGAUAUCUGAUAUACUUUCAAUCUUAUGAAACUUAAUGCAUUAGUGUCUGUAAGUGAAGUAUUUACUAUUCAUGUAUUAAGCACCAUCGAGUUUGUAGUGAGAGAAGCAUAUAUAACUAACUCUGCUUCUUAUCAAUAUGUAACAGGUAUAUAUGGCUACCUCAGCCAAAAAGGCUAUGGUUGUCCAUGUUAUGAAAAUAUUAUCUGCAGAUGUCAUUUGUUUUAUUGAUAUUUUAGUUUCCUGACCAUUACUCUCUGUUCAUGACCGUCAUUUUGUUGUGUAAUUGAUUUGCUUUCAUUAUUAUUAAUUGCAUUGUGUGUUAAAAUAGUGGAAAGAGUUUGUUACUUACUGUUGUACUUUAGUUUAGUUCAGAUACUAAAGUACACUCCUCAAACAAUUAUCAUUUUUUGAAGUUUUAAGUUCUAGUAUUAAUAAUUGAAAAAGAUAGUUUGAGUUUGUUUAGGAUUAUUUUCUUUGAAAGGGAAGAUGUUGUUCUAUGAGCUUAGAUGUUGGCCCCAUUGGCAUUGGAACUUGAAGAAGAAAGAUAGAUUUGUUUAGGGUGAAAUCAGAAGGAAGUGUCGGAUAGAUAUGCAGGGCAAUAUAUUUCAAUCUUUAUGUAUUUGUUUAGUAUAUGUCUGUGGGAUUGGAGACUGAUCAGCAGUAUGAUUUAUUAGGUUUCAGUAAUUUCUGUUCUCAACUUUUUCUUUGGCAUGGGUUUGCCUUGCGUUUCUUAUACUUAGUCAUUACGAAAAUUUGAUGAGGACAGGAAGCACUGAGAGCUUUGGUUAGUACGAAUUUGACCAUUGGAUCCAGUAAGCAGGUUGAGGUUCCCCAUUUUCACCAUGGCAUUGGCAAAAUCUGCAAAGAAAGCUGAAGGGGUGGUGCUGUAAGUUGUUACUUGAGAAUCUGUUGAACCACCACUGAA